This is a non-coding RNA of Pelobates cultripes (western spadefoot toad), 237 nucleotides long. The record is from the annotation of a GenBank genome assembly. Lineage: Eukaryota; Metazoa; Chordata; Amphibia; Anura; Pelobatidae.
CCACAAUGCAUCACAAUCCCUCCUCUCUGUCCUGGAGAUAAUUGGGAAGUAAUCCAAUUAUCUCCAAGGACAGAGGCAAAACUCCAUUAACCACAUGGUUACAAUAAAACACUAAAAUACAAUAAAAUACAUAAUGUUACAUUUGUCACAUAAAAUAUAUACAUUCUACAUAUCCCCAGAUAGCUUAGAUCUGAGCGCACAUUACUACCGAAUGGCGCUCAGAUCACAUACAUACAG